AAAAAUAAUAAUAAAUUGUUUGGACGUGAAAUUUCCGAUUUCAUUUAUGUGAAAUCUAUUUUCAAAACCGCAAGCAACAACACGAUCUCUUAUAAAAUGCUUGUAGCAACUAUGCAUUUUAAUGCUAUCUUAACUCUUUCGUUUUCUCUCCUCUGACAGCUUUGAAAGUCUCUCUCCUUGACAAGCCCAAAUUCUCAAGCCAUGAAGGGACCGAGAACUGCUGUGAUUGCUCACAAGAGGCCUGACGCAGAGUAAUUUCGUUUGCGCUAAUGUGCUUUGCCCAUUUUUGUUUCCUGCGGUUUGAUUUCUCGCGACUAGGUGUUUUUGCUUUGAUGUUGUUUCUACAAACCGUUUCUGCUCUUUUCUUUAGCUUUAUGACUCUGUUUUUGUUCCUUUUUGUUUUGGUUAUUUGCUUCGAUUUCUCUGUUACUAUUUUGAUAUAGCGAUUUUGUAUGUGUUUUGAUUUAGCUUCUGUGCAUUUUUUAUCUUCGAUUCUCUUCUUCUAGAAAUCGACUUGUUAUGCAGCUGCAAAAUCUGCUCCGAGAAUCGUGAUUGUGCUAUGGAAUUCAACUUUCUUAUUGUAUUUUCGUGUUCGUUUUCUGGGAUCUUUUCUUUUUCUUAGGCGACUGAAAUUUCCAUGGAGGCUGGUUAUUCCUUCUUUUGUUUUCUUCAGAUUUGGCUUUCUGAGUUGAUGUUCUAGUUUCUUGGCCUCUUAAAGUCGAUUCUCUUUUGAUUUUCUGUGCUUCUCAUUUUUUAAGGAAGUUGAAGGCACGCAAAGCCGAGAUCAAAACGACAAAGGAGAAAGGGAGCAAGAAGAACUCCGCUCCAAAGGAUCCUGAUGCUCCAAAGCGUCCUCCCAGCGCUUUUUUCGUCUUCAUGGAGGAGUUCAGAAAAUCUUUCAAGGAGAACUUUCCUGAAAACAAAUCUGUUUCUGCUGUAGGGAAAGCUGGUGGUGCGAAAUGGAAAUCAAUGUCUGAUUCUGACAAAGCUCCAUAUGCUGAGAAGGCCUCGAACAAGAAAACAGAGUAUGAGAAAGCUGUAGAAGCAUAUCAGAAGCAGAAACUCAACAAUAAUGGAGACAAUGAGGAAUCUGAGAAAUCCACGUCUGAGAUCCACGAUGAUGCUGAGCAUGAAGCCAGCUCUUAGAGAAAUCUAAUGUGGGCUUUGGAGCUGGCUUGUACAGAGAAGGAAAUGGUAAAAUUCAUCAUUUUGGACAGCAUUUAGGAGUAGUGAUUAACCAAAAUAUAAUGCUUUAGCGUAUCCUUAGAUCAUUUCGAUGUUGCUUACCAAGCAAACCUUUAGUCUGUUCUAUUGUUUAAUUUCCCUCUUAGCUUGAGAUGCUUUCAAAUUCUGUGAAGUUUUUCCUGUUAAUGAAGGUCAGGGAAACUGGAAAAAAAUGUUAUAAGAUUGGGUUACCUUAUAUGGUGGUUUGGAUAUGGAAAUUGGUAUCUGCCUGAACGUUUACUUCUCUAAUUUUGUUGAUUGCAAAAUUAAAAUGGCAAGUGUUG
RNAcentral lists this unclassified non-coding RNA (1508 nucleotides) under Hevea brasiliensis (rubber tree). The record is from RNAcentral. Lineage: Eukaryota; Viridiplantae; Streptophyta; Magnoliopsida; Malpighiales; Euphorbiaceae.